Long non-coding RNA from Zingiber officinale, 195 nucleotides. RefSeq lists it as uncharacterized. Lineage: Eukaryota; Viridiplantae; Streptophyta; Magnoliopsida; Zingiberales; Zingiberaceae. The record is from RefSeq and is a predicted model, not a curated record. The transcript is spliced from 3 exons.
CUCUCUCGUCUCACUACCACCAUGUCGGGAAGAAAGAAGACUAGGGAGCCCAAGGAGGAGAAUGUGACGCUUGGGCCAACUGUAUGGGAGGGGGAGCAAGUGUUUGGUGUUGCCCACAUCUUUGCUUCUUUUAAUGAUACUUUCAUUCAUGUUACAGAUUUGUCUGGGAGGGAAACACUUGUUCGUAUUACAGGU